GAAGAUGGAUGCACAAGCACCAGUGUCCCCUUUACAAUGCAGUCCUGCAGUUCCUCCUGCGGCCGCAGGGAGGCGCGCAGCAGCCUAUUGUUCACGAUACCAGAAUGAAGUGUUUACAGUUUUAAAGAAGCAAAGUUUCCACAGAAGCAG
This is a long non-coding RNA of Epinephelus fuscoguttatus (brown-marbled grouper), 150 nucleotides long. RefSeq lists it as uncharacterized. The transcript has 3 exons. The record is from RefSeq and is a predicted model, not a curated record. Lineage: Eukaryota; Metazoa; Chordata; Actinopteri; Perciformes; Serranidae.